UGUGUGUGUGUGUGUGUGUCUGCGCGCGUGUGUGUGUGUGUGUACGUGUCUGUGUGUGUCUGUGUGUGUGUGUGUGUGAGUACUCACGUA
Molecule: non-coding RNA, 90 nt
Organism: Pangasianodon gigas (Mekong giant catfish)
Lineage: Eukaryota; Metazoa; Chordata; Actinopteri; Siluriformes; Pangasiidae
Source: the annotation of a GenBank genome assembly